UUGGAGGGCAAGUCUGGUGCCAGCAGCCGCGGUAAUUCCAGCUCCAAUAGCGUAUAUUAAAGUUGUUGCAGUUAAAAAGCUCGUAGUUGAAUUUCGGGAUUGACACAUCGGUCGUGCCUUAAGGGGUAUGAACUGGUGUAGUCAAUUUCUCACCUUCUGGAGAACCGCGAUGCCCUUAAUUGGGUGCCGCAGGGAACCAGGACCUUUACUUUGAAAAAAUUAGAGUGUUUAAAGCAGGCAUUUUGCUUGAAUACAUUAGCAUGGAAUAAUAAAAUAGGACGGCAUGAUUCUAUUUUGUUGGUUUCUAGGAUCACCGUAAUGAUUAAUAGGGAUAGUUGGGGGCAUUAGUAUUCAAUUGUCAGAGGUGAAAUUCUUGGAUUCAUUGAAGACUAACUACUGCGAAAGCAUUUGCCAAGGAUGUUUUCAUUAAUCAAGAACGAAAGUUAGGGGAUCGAAGACGAUCAGAUACCGUCGUAGUCUUAACCAUAAACUAUGCCGACUAGGAAUCAGACGAUGUUAAUUUUUUAAUGACUCGUUUGGCACCUUACGGGAAACCAAAGUGUUUGGGUUC
This 571-nucleotide ribosomal RNA is filed under the name uncultured Glomeromycotina. Its description in RNAcentral is "SSU rRNA". It matches the Rfam family "Eukaryotic small subunit ribosomal RNA", at positions 548 to 1114 of the family's 1831-position model. The record is from RNAcentral. Lineage: Eukaryota; Fungi; Glomeromycota.